RNAcentral lists this ribosomal RNA (371 nucleotides) under Pterotrachea coronata. RNAcentral describes it as "partial 12S ribosomal RNA". The record is from RNAcentral. Lineage: Eukaryota; Metazoa; Mollusca; Gastropoda; Littorinimorpha; Pterotracheidae.
UCCUAGAUGUAAAUCGAAACUUUUUAUCUGCCAGAGUACUACGAAUCAAAUGUUUAAAACUCAAAGAGCUUGGCGGUGCUUUAGACUUCUCAGGGGAACCUGUCUCGUAAUCGACAAUCCUCGAAUCAACCUCACCUCCUCUAGCAAUCAGUUUGUAUACCGUCGUCGUCAGGUAACUUUUAAAAAUAUAGAAGUUAGCAGGAAAGCUAUAAGCUCCUACGUCAGAUCAAGGUGCAGCUUAUGAGGAGGAGUAGAUGGGUUACAAUUAAAAGUUAUAAUUACGAAUACUUGCCACUAAUAAGGCUUUUGAAGGAGGACUUGAAAGUAAAGAUUUAGUAUAUAAAUAAAUUGAAUCAAGCUCUGAAGCGUGC